UCGACAUCUUGAACGC
RNAcentral lists this ribosomal RNA (16 nucleotides) under Paragonimus heterotremus. Its description in RNAcentral is "partial 5.8S ribosomal RNA". The record is from RNAcentral. Lineage: Eukaryota; Metazoa; Platyhelminthes; Trematoda; Plagiorchiida; Troglotrematidae. RNAcentral also lists the same sequence under 1 other name.